This 75-nucleotide transfer RNA is filed under the name Dehalococcoidia bacterium. RNAcentral's name for it is "tRNA-Met". It matches the Rfam family "tRNA". From Rfam's summary of the family: Transfer RNA (tRNA) molecules are approximately 80 nucleotides in length. Their secondary structure includes four short double-helical elements and three loops (D, anti-codon, and T loops). Lineage: Bacteria; Bacillati; Chloroflexota; Dehalococcoidia. The record is from RNAcentral. RNAcentral also lists the same sequence under 2 other names.
AGCGGGGUAGAGAAGUCUGGAGUUCUCGCCGGGCCCAUAACCCGGAGGUCGGUGGUUCAAAUCCACCUCCCGCUA